AAAACACCAACUGAAACUAACGCUGAAAAAAAAGACUUCUCCCAGGAGAGCGUAAUUCUGUUCUGCACAAUCCCUCCAAGCCUGCCAUUCGGGACGGGUAACAGCCGGGCUCUGCAACGUCUGCGAAAGACAGAGGCAAGUCGAGAACCCCAGCUCCUGCCACGGGCACCCUUUGCGAUUUAUUGCCUCCUAACAAGCAGGAGGAAUGGGAAAAUCAUUGCAGAAGCCAGACCUGCCCGUUCUGGUUUUGAUUUAUACAGCUUCAGAAGGUACCUGACACUUUUGAGAAAGCCUGUUUUCGCUUCAUUGCCAGGUCAAUUUAUAGCCUUGGUAGCUUUAAAUAACCACUUCAAUUUGGGGAGUAUUGUUACGAACUCAUAUUUUAAAUAUUUUCUACAGCUAAAAAUACAAAUAUCCCAAUAGCACACCUAUUAGUAACAGCAAUAAAUUCCUGCACUACUAUCUACUACAACAAGGCUAUUGAAACUGAAAUAUGACUGCACCUUGAAUCAUGAAGAAGAAUCAGUAGAAAAGACUGCUCGGUAUCUAAUUCUCGUGUAUUUCUAUGGGACACAGGCAGCUGAAAGGAAUAGCUGAGCCUGACUCACUUUGGACUGGAGUUUAGCUAAAUGAUAGAGCUUGGUUAACUUCAUUAAAGUCUCAUGUCUCACACAGGCUGAAGCUGUUUGCUACGCUAAUGACAGCUUGAUAGGACAUGCUGCGUUUCAGGACGCACAGACUGCUAUAAUUCUAAAGCCUGAGAAUUAUGACAGAAAAAAAAAAAGGUUCUGGGAGACCUAUCCCUGCCCUAGCUCUCCAUGUGUUCUGUAAUGGUGAUAUUCUUCCCUUCAAAACGGGAAAAUAUAAUGUAUUUACUAAAGGGUUAGAAAAAAAGUUUGAAGCAGAGCUGAUCCAGUUCCACACCUACUGCUUUUAGCCACACCUCACAAUUAUAAUAUGAAAAGAGAAGAAAAAAAAAAAAAGAAAAAAAAAAAGAAAACAAGCAAAAGGAAAACAAUCCGGUAUGUGGCUGUGAUUCCAAAUAAUAACAACAGUGUGUGCAUGCUCAUAAAUGCUUCAGAAUUGACCAAGAGGAAGCACGUUUCAUGAUGACACAAUCUUGUUGCUGUAGUCAUUCAUCGAAGGGAACUCCCACAGGAAAAGGCAUAAAGCUGCUUAGGGAAGGCUAAGAAGCUGCUCAGUGCUAGUCAGUCAAACAUUGGGUUA
This 1227-nucleotide long non-coding RNA is filed under the name Anas zonorhyncha (Eastern spot-billed duck). RNAcentral describes it as "lncRNA (ENSAZOG00000018212.1)". The record is from RNAcentral. Lineage: Eukaryota; Metazoa; Chordata; Aves; Anseriformes; Anatidae.